Molecule: ribosomal RNA, 458 nt
Filed under: uncultured bacterium
Lineage: Bacteria
Description: partial 16S ribosomal RNA
Rfam family: Bacterial small subunit ribosomal RNA
Source: RNAcentral
CCUACGGGAGGCAGCAGUGAGGAAUAUUGGUCAAUGGGCGCGAGCCUGAACCAGCCAAGUAGCGUGAAGGAUGACUGCCCUAUGGGUUGUAAACCUCUUUUGUCGGGGAGCAAAAGCCGGACGUGUCCGGCUGUGAGAGUACCCGAAGAAAAAGCAUCGGCUAACUCCGUGCCAGCAGCCGCGGUAAUACGGAGGAUGCGAGCGUUAUCCGGAUUUAUUGGGUUUAAAGGGUGCGCAGGCGGAUUUUUAAGUCAGCGGUAAAAUCGUGGGGCUCAACCCCAUCCAGCCGUUGAAACUGGGGAUCUAGAGUGUGCGAGAGGUAUGCGGAAUGCGUGGUGUAGCGGUGAAAUGCAUAGAUAUCACGCAGAACCCCGAUUGCGAAGGCAGCAUACCGGUGCACAACUGACGCUCAGGCACGAAAGCGUGGGUAUCGAACAGGAUUAGAUACCCGAGUAGUC